GACGAACGCUGGCGGCGCGCCUAACACAUGCAAGUCGAACGGAAUCAAGAGGAGCUUGCUUUUCUUGAUUUAGUGGCGAACGGGUGAGUAACGCGUGAGUAACCUGCCCUGGAGUGGUGGACAACACUUGGAAACGACUGCUAAUACCGCAUCAGCCCACGGUACCGCCGGGUACUGAGGGAAUAGGAUUUAUUCGCUUCAGGAUGGCCUCGAGUCCAAUUAGCUAGUUGGUGAGGCAACAGCCCACCAAGGCGACGAUUGGUAGCCGGACUGAGAGGUUGAACGGCCACAUUGGGACUGAGACACGGCCCAGACUCCUACGGGAGGCAGCAGUGGGGGAUAUUGCACAAUGGGGGAAACCCUGAUGCAGCGACGCCGCGUGGAGGAAGAAGGUUUUCGGAUUGUAAACUCCUGUCGUUAGGGACGAUAAUGACGGUACCUAACAAGAAAGCACCGGCUAACUACGUGCCAGCCGCCGCCGUAA
This 484-nucleotide ribosomal RNA is filed under the name uncultured bacterium. Its description in RNAcentral is "partial 16S ribosomal RNA". It matches the Rfam family "Bacterial small subunit ribosomal RNA", at positions 28 to 523 of the family's 1533-position model. The record is from RNAcentral.